RNAcentral lists this ribosomal RNA (910 nucleotides) under Pseudomonas songnenensis. RNAcentral's name for it is "bacterial SSU rRNA". It matches the Rfam family "Bacterial small subunit ribosomal RNA", at positions 38 to 943 of the family's 1533-position model. The record is from RNAcentral. Lineage: Bacteria; Pseudomonadati; Pseudomonadota; Gammaproteobacteria; Pseudomonadales; Pseudomonadaceae.
GGGGGCGCGGCUAACACAUGCAAGUCGAGCGGAUGAGUGGAGCUUGCUUCACGAUUCAGCGGCGGACGGGUGAGUAAUGCCUAGGAAUCUGCCUGGUAGUGGGGGACAACGUUUCGAAAGGAACGCUAAUACCGCAUACGUCCUACGGGAGAAAGCAGGGGACCUUCGGGCCUUGCGCUAUCAGAUGAGCCUAGGUCGGAUUAGCUAGUUGGUGAGGUAAUGGCUCACCAAGGCGACGAUCCGUAACUGGUCUGAGAGGAUGAUCAGUCACACUGGAACUGAGACACGGUCCAGACUCCUACGGGAGGCAGCAGUGGGGAAUAUUGGACAAUGGGCGAAAGCCUGAUCCAGCCAUGCCGCGUGUGUGAAGAAGGUCUUCGGAUUGUAAAGCACUUUAAGUUGGGAGGAAGGGCAGUAAGCUAAUACCUUGCUGUUUUGACGUUACCGACAGAAUAAGCACCGGCUAACUUCGUGCCAGCAGCCGCGGUAAUACGAAGGGUGCAAGCGUUAAUCGGAAUUACUGGGCGUAAAGCGCGCGUAGGUGGUUUGUUAAGUUGGAUGUGAAAGCCCCGGGCUCAACCUGGGAACUGCAUCCAAAACUGGCAAGCUAGAGUAUGGCAGAGGGUGGUGGAAUUUCCUGUGUAGCGGUGAAAUGCGUAGAUAUAGGAAGGAACACCAGUGGCGAAGGCGACCACCUGGGCUAAUACUGACACUGAGGUGCGAAAGCGUGGGGAGCAAACAGGAUUAGAUACCCUGGUAGUCCACGCCGUAAACGAUGUCGACUAGCCGUUGGGAUCCUUGAGAUCUUAGUGGCGCAGCUAACGCAUUAAGUCGACCGCCUGGGGAGUACGGCCGCAAGGUUAAAACUCAAAUGAAUUGACGGGGGCCCGCACAAGCGGUGGAGCAUGUG